RNAcentral lists this ribosomal RNA (300 nucleotides) under uncultured Bacillus sp. RNAcentral describes it as "bacterial SSU rRNA". It matches the Rfam family "Bacterial small subunit ribosomal RNA", at positions 496 to 795 of the family's 1533-position model. The record is from RNAcentral. Lineage: Bacteria; Bacillati; Bacillota; Bacilli; Caryophanales; Bacillaceae.
GCUAACUACGUGCCAGCAGCCGCGGUAAUACGUAGGUGGCAAGCGUUGUCCGGAAUUAUUGGGCGUAAAGGGCUCGCAGGCGGUUUCUUAAGUCUGAUGUGAAAGCCCCCGGCUCAACCGGGGAGGGUCAUUGGAAACUGGGAAACUUGAGUGCAGAAGAGGAGAGUGGAAUUCCACGUGUAGCGGUGAAAUGCGUAGAGAUGUGGAGGAACACCAGUGGCGAAGGCGACUCUCUGGUCUGUAACUGACGCUGAGGAGCGAAAGCGUGGGGAGCGAACAGGAUUAGAUACCCUUGUAGUC